CAAAGCCGCAGAUCGCUCCACCGCCGUUCGCAGCCCCCUGCUGAGGGGCCAGCGGCUCUCCCUGGGACCCCAGAACCUUAACACAAUUAUGAGGUGGAAGAAAUGGGGAACACCAGGCCUGGCCUCAUGGAGACUGGGGAGUCAGAACCUGAGCUCUGGCUCCUGGAGCUGCUGUGAGUGAGCGGUGGAAACCUGUCCCUUAGAGAAGCUGCAGCUGAUCAGCAUCAUGCAAGGGACUCCUGAGAUGGUAGCAUGCUGGUAAUGAAGUGUUAUGGAGCCACUCCAUCCUUUAUUCAUCCUUUUCCUCAUACACACAGAGAACAAAGCAUAGGAACCAGCUACAGAAUUUGCAAGUGGAGAAUCCAGGUACCUUUAAAAGUCUAUUCAGUGAAAAUCUCUGGCUAUUGAUGUGAUGGUUAAUUUUAUGUGCCAACUUGGCUAGGCCAUGGUACCCAGUUUUUCAUAAAAGAUCAGUCUAGAUGUUGUGAAGGUAUAUUUUUAAAUGUGAUUAACAUUUUAUUCAGUGGACUUCAAGUAAAGCAGAUUAUCC
Molecule: non-coding RNA, 550 nt
Filed under: Pongo abelii (Sumatran orangutan)
Lineage: Eukaryota; Metazoa; Chordata; Mammalia; Primates; Hominidae
Source: RNAcentral